UUUCUGAAGGAAAUGUUGCCACAGCCGCAGCAGCUGCUCUGGCCUCAGCUGCUACCAAAGCCAAGCACACCAGCACCCGGGAGGACCGGGGCUGGCCCCACUUGGGGCAGCAGGCCACCCAGGCAUGAUGCCUCAUCAGCAGCCCCCUCCAUACCCCAUGAUGCACCAUCAGAUGCCACCACCCCAUCCUCCCCAACCAGGUCAAAUACCAGGCCCUGGCUCCAUGAUGCCUGGGCAACCUAUGCCAGGUCGCAUGAUUCCCACCGUGGCAGCCAACAUUCACCCUACUGGGAGUGGCCCUACCCCUCCCGGUAUGCCUCCAAUGCCCGGAAACAUCUUAGGACCCCGGGUACCCCUCACAGCACCAAACGGCAUGUGUAAGUAGCCCAGCGGGAAGACAUGCCCCAGCAUCCUGCUAUGGAAGCUACAGACAAGGAAGAAAGGCUUUCUUCUCUUCAUGAGAUGUAGCAAGUCCAUAGACAGUCUAGCCUGCAACAUUUAGUUGUGGGAGAUAACAUUUUGGUUUGAAACUCAGGUUAUAUACUCAGUACUGAGGUCUGUGGAUGAGCCACUGAUUUCUUUGUCACUCGUGAUUAAACCUGACUAGUUUGAAUAUC
RNAcentral lists this long non-coding RNA (617 nucleotides) under Rattus norvegicus (Norway rat). RNAcentral describes it as "long non-coding RNA NONRATT028080". Lineage: Eukaryota; Metazoa; Chordata; Mammalia; Rodentia; Muridae. The record is from RNAcentral.